RNAcentral lists this ribosomal RNA (553 nucleotides) under uncultured bacterium. RNAcentral describes it as "partial 16S ribosomal RNA". It matches the Rfam family "Bacterial small subunit ribosomal RNA", at positions 355 to 900 of the family's 1533-position model. The record is from RNAcentral.
UAGGGAAUCUUCCACAAUGGACGCAAGUCUGAUGGAGCAACGCCGCGUGAGUGAAGAAGGUUUUCGGAUCGUAAAGCUCUGUUGUUGGUGAAGAAGGAUAGAGGCAGUAACUGGCCUUUAUUUGACGGUAAUCAACCAGAAAGUCACGGCUAACUACGUGCCAGCAGCCGCGGUAAUACGUAGGUGGCAAGCGUUGUCCGGAUUUAUUGGGCGUAAAGCGAGCGCAGGCGGAAGAAUAAGUCUGAUGUGAAAGCCCUCGGCUUAACCGAGGAAUUGCAUCGGAAACUGUUUUCUGAGUGCAGAAGAGGAGAGUGGAACUCCAUGUGUAGCGGUGGAAUGCGUAGAUAUAUGGAAGAACACCAGUGGCGAAGGCGGCUCUCUGGUCUGCAACUGACGCUGAGGCUCGAAAGCAUGGGUAGCGAACAGGAUUAGAUACCCUGGUAGUCCAUGCCGUAAACGAUGAGUGCUAAGUGUUGGGAGGUUUCCGCCUCUCAGUGCUGCAGCUAACGCAUUAAGCACUCCGCCUGGGGGAGUACGACCGCAAGGUUGAAAC